CGAAAGUCUGAUGGAGCAAUACCACGUGAACGAUGAAGGUCUUCUGAUUGUAAAGUUCUUUUAUUUAGGAAAAAAAGCGCGGCAGGAAAUGGCCGCGCCUUGAUUGUACUAAUUGAAUAAGUGACAGCUAACUAUGUGCCAGCAGCUGCGGUAAAACAUAGGUCACGAGCAUUAUCCG
Molecule: ribosomal RNA, 178 nt
Filed under: uncultured Mycoplasma sp.
Lineage: Bacteria; Bacillati; Mycoplasmatota; Mollicutes; Mycoplasmatales; Mycoplasmataceae
Description: partial 16S ribosomal RNA
Rfam family: Bacterial small subunit ribosomal RNA
Source: RNAcentral